AAGCCUCGUGACGAAGUGAGCUGGUCAAGUCCACGUUUGGCGUGGUCAAGACCAAGGAAAGUCCCCGGGCCACCUUUCGCAGAGAUGCGGCCUCGGAAACGAGGAAUCUUCGAGCAUGUGAAAUCCAUUCCUUCGUGGAAGGGCUGAGACGCGUGUGGAGCCCGGAUUUCCGCCGAAGCAUCUUGGCCGUAUACACAGUCAUUCACUUGAUCCUAUCAUGGAUUAACUGAACGGGGAUUACGAUCAUGUGGCU
This 253-nucleotide RNase MRP RNA is filed under the name Nelumbo nucifera (sacred lotus). RNAcentral describes it as "RNase MRP". It matches the Rfam family "RNase MRP". From Rfam's summary of the family: RNase MRP is an enzymatically active ribonucleoprotein with two distinct roles in eukaryotes. In mitochondria it plays a direct role in the initiation of mitochondrial DNA replication. The record is from Rfam by way of RNAcentral. Lineage: Eukaryota; Viridiplantae; Streptophyta; Magnoliopsida; Proteales; Nelumbonaceae.